CCUGUCCAGGGGAAGUAGGAAGGGUGGCAGGGUAGAAAGGGAUGGGGAGAAUGGAGGAGGUAGAAUUGGACAAGAGGAAAGCAUGUGAGCCUUUCAAAAGACUCUCCUUGACAACCCAGAAGCAUCCAGAAAAGCCUGAGGACUGGCCCCAGAGGCUGAGCACUUGGCAGGCAGAUCUUGGUAGCUGAGCAUGAAGACACAGAGCACCAGUGGAGACCAUGAGCCUCCCCCUUCUUCUUGGCUGUAGCCGCCGUUCCCUCCGGCACCCUACCCCAGAAUUUGUGGAGAAUUGUGGACCAGAUCAGCCUCGCUCUUAAGAAAGAAAGAGACACAGGUACAAAGGCAGGUGGUGCAUGCCAUGCUUGGGCCAGGCAGGGUCCAGGCCUCACCUUGACCUCCUCCUCCAGCUGCCUCUUGAGGUCCUCCAGCUGCUGGGUGUAGGUGAGCUUGCCUCGGGUCAGCUGGGAAAUCAGCGCCUCCUUCUCAUCCAGCUGCCGGGACAGCUCCCCUGGGGAGGCACCAAGCUUGGCCCGCUGGCUGGUGAGGUCAUUGACGGAACGCUGAGUCUCCUCGGCCUUGCUCCGAUGCUCAUUCAUCUGGUCUUCCAAGGUCCGGC
Long non-coding RNA from Peromyscus leucopus (white-footed mouse), 616 nucleotides. RefSeq lists it as uncharacterized. NCBI's taxonomy places the organism in Eukaryota, Metazoa, Chordata, Mammalia, Rodentia, Cricetidae. The transcript has 3 exons. The record is from RefSeq and is a predicted model, not a curated record.